This 141-nucleotide small nuclear RNA is filed under the name Trichobilharzia regenti. RNAcentral describes it as "U4 spliceosomal RNA". It matches the Rfam family "U4 spliceosomal RNA". Rfam says of the family: U4 small nuclear RNA (U4 snRNA) is a component of the major U2-dependent spliceosome. The structure of U4 snRNA from yeast and human has been reported. U4 snRNA presents a k-turn RNA motif in the 5p-SL related to recognition of Snu13 protein. Lineage: Eukaryota; Metazoa; Platyhelminthes; Trematoda; Strigeidida; Schistosomatidae. The record is from Rfam by way of RNAcentral.
GGCUUUACGCAGUGGCGGUACCGUAGCCAAUGAAGUUUUAUCUGAGGCGCGGUUAUUACUAGUUGAAACCUACUCCCAGUACCUCGCACUGAUGGCGUGAAAUAUUGUCGUCAGAUGCAAUUUUUCCAGGCUGUCAAAGGC